GAUGAAGAACGUAGCGAAAUGCGAUACUUGGUGUGAAUUGCAGAAUCCCGUGAACCAUCGAGUCUUUGAACGCAAGUUGCGCCCGAAGCCAUUAGGCCGAGGGCACGCCUGCCUGGGUGUCACACGUCGUUGCCCCCCCAUCUACUCCUUCGGGAUUGCGGGGGGCGGAUGAUGGCCUCCCGUGCGCCUCGCCGCGCGGUUGGCAUAAAUGCCAAGUCCUCGGCGACGCACGCCACGACAAUCGGUGGUUGCGAAACCUCGGUUGCCCGUCGUGUGCGGUCGUCGCGCAUCGAGGGCUCGAAAAAAUUGCCGGGUUCCGGCUCGGCUUUCAACGCGACCCCAGGUCAGGCGGGGUUACCCGCUGAAUUUAAGCAUAUCAAUAAGCGGAGGA
Molecule: unclassified non-coding RNA, 391 nt
Filed under: soil metagenome
Description: partial contains 5.8S ribosomal RNA, internal transcribed spacer 2, and large subunit ribosomal RNA
Rfam family: 5.8S ribosomal RNA (bases 1-122)
Source: RNAcentral